RNAcentral lists this long non-coding RNA (425 nucleotides) under Haliotis rufescens (red abalone). RNAcentral's name for it is "uncharacterized LOC125374574". The record is from RNAcentral. Lineage: Eukaryota; Metazoa; Mollusca; Gastropoda; Lepetellida; Haliotidae.
ACGAAAUCAAGUUGUCAUUCGUUACUUCGUUACAUCGUUGCAGAUUGAGAUAUCAACCAUGAAAACCUUGGCUGUUGCUCUUUGUUUGGUUCUGGUGGUGGCAAUGGCCUCAGCCACAUACCAAGCCUACCCAAUUGGAGGAGGAUACGGAGGAGGAUACGGGGGAGGAUACAGGCAAGGAUACGGACCAGGAAAUGAUGUAUUUAACAACCAAAACUUCAGACAGUAUGCCACCAUCAAUCAACAACAGUUCAACAAGCAAUACGCUGACCAAGAUAUCUAUAAUCGUGGCCGUCCCUACUAUGGCGGAAAGGGCUAUGGUGGAUAUUAAGAUGGUUCAUGCACAUUGUCCGGAUCAUAAGGCAGGACUCCACCUCUUUCGCAUACGACUUGUUUGACGUGAAUUAAUAAAUCUUUGCAUGAUU